CGACCGGCGAACGGGUGCGUAACACGUGAGCGACCUUCCGUCUUCAGGGGGAUAGCCGGCCCAACGGCCGGGUAAUACCGCAUACGCUCUUUGCGCUGCAUGGCGUGGGGAGGAAACUUCUGGGGGAGGACGAGGGGCUCGCGGCCUAUCAGCUAGUUGGGGGGUAACGGCCUCCCAAGGCGACGACGGGUAGCUGGUCUGAGAGGAUGGCCAGCCACAUUGGGACUGAGAGACGGCCCAG
This 241-nucleotide ribosomal RNA is filed under the name uncultured bacterium. RNAcentral's name for it is "partial 16S ribosomal RNA". It matches the Rfam family "Bacterial small subunit ribosomal RNA", at positions 92 to 334 of the family's 1533-position model. The record is from RNAcentral.